RNAcentral lists this transfer RNA (62 nucleotides) under Phygasia gracilicornis. RNAcentral's name for it is "tRNA-His". The record is from RNAcentral. Lineage: Eukaryota; Metazoa; Arthropoda; Insecta; Coleoptera; Chrysomelidae.
ACUUAAAUAGUUUAAUAAAAAUAUUGAUUUGUGGUAUCAAAGUUAUUCAUUUAUUUUAAGUU